This 254-nucleotide ribosomal RNA is filed under the name uncultured bacterium. RNAcentral's name for it is "partial 16S ribosomal RNA". It matches the Rfam family "Bacterial small subunit ribosomal RNA", at positions 524 to 776 of the family's 1533-position model. The record is from RNAcentral.
CACGUAGGGGGCAAGCGUUGUCCGGAUUUAUUGGGCGUAAAGAGCUCGUAGGCGGCUCGUUAAGUUGGUUGUUAAACCCCCAGGCUUAACCUGGGGACGCCACCCGAUACUGCCGUGGCUAGAGUCCGGUAGGGGAGCGUGGAAUUCCUGGUGUAGCGGUGAAAUGCGCAGAUAUCAGGAGGAACACCAGCGGCGAAGGCGGCGCUCUGGGCCGGAACUGACGCUGAGGAGCGAAAGCGUGGGUAGCAAACAGG